Cavia porcellus (domestic guinea pig) is the source of this 1333-nucleotide long non-coding RNA. RefSeq lists it as uncharacterized. Lineage: Eukaryota; Metazoa; Chordata; Mammalia; Rodentia; Caviidae. The transcript is spliced from 3 exons. The record is from RefSeq and is a predicted model, not a curated record.
UCUGGGCUGAGACCUGGAGGAUGCUGGGAAAUGAGCCGGUGGAGGAGACAUAUUCCAGGCAAGGGAGGGAGCAGUAACUGCAAAGACCUAGAGGGCAGCCUUGCCAGACUUGAAGCUGUUCCCAAUUUCCUCUCAUUAUAAAUAAUGCGCCCAUGCACAUCCUUGUGCGUCCCGAGGCGAGAUUCCUGGGCCAAAGGGUGCGGAUGCUUUGGCAGCGCCUGAUCAAAUCUCGGCAGAGUCACUGCAUGACCCCCAGCUAAAGUGACUUCAUAUGGUUAAAGUGAGAUUACGCUGCUAUUUGUUAUUUCUAUGUUUGAUUCAUGACUCAGGUUUGAGAAAGGAUGUCUCCCCCUUUCCUUUUGGAUGUGCUCAGUUGUAGGAACAGAAAGCCAUUCGCACUGUCUCAUGCCUGAAAGGAUUCUUCAGCAAGUAGAGUUGAUGCAGUAGCUCUUCCUCAUCUGAUGGGGAUGAGUUUUAAGACUUCCCUCCCACCACCAUCUUGGAUACCUGAAACUGCAGAUAGUGACAAACAAAGGCUAUACAGAACCUCUGUAAUGAGACAACUAACCUGAGAGCCCUGAUGGACAGGCAGUGUAUACUGCAUGGAUACUCUGGAUAAAGGGUAGGAGUUCCCAAGAUGGUCGCCACCAGCCUCCUGCCACAGGAGCCUCCUCUAUCCCACAGGCAGAGGGCCACCUUUGCCUCAGAUUUCCCACUGAAGUAACGAACUUCUGCUGCACCUAGGAGGAGCACAUCAAAAUCAAGAAGAAGCCAAUUUUAUUUUCCUGUAAGCCUUGCAAGCCAUGUGGGGCCUAGGAAGAGAGAAGCCAGAUGACUUCUCCAGUGAGCCAACCUGCACGGGCUGAGAAUCAAGGUCCUCCCUCCCCCAGCAACAGGCUGAUUCAGGGGACAGGCUGAGUUGAUAGUAACUGAGAUACAAAAACAACCGAGUGCUUGUAUUGUUUGAUUGACUUUGCAGGCUGAGCAUCUAUCAGGAUACCGGUAUGCAAUAUAGCAAAUAUAGGGCAUUUCCUUUUGUCCUAUUUUUGAAAUCCAAUAUUGUUCCCAUUGUUUUGUUUUGUUCUAUUUAUUGUUUUGCUUUAUUCAAUGUUCUGUUUUGAUUGGUUUUAUUCUGUUUUUUUAUUUGAUUUUACUGUGUCUGACGGAAUGAACAACUACUGUGAAGACAAGAUAUACUAUAGUAGCUAUUGUUAAUUUCCUGUUACCCUGCUUAAAAGUUCUGUACCAUUUUCACUGUUUUGAUUGGCUUUAUUCUGUUUUGUUGGUUUUUAUUAUCUUUAAAAUAAAAAAAAAAUAAUGAGGCUGACUCUGA